This 454-nucleotide ribosomal RNA is filed under the name uncultured Sulfuricurvum sp. RNAcentral describes it as "bacterial SSU rRNA". It matches the Rfam family "Bacterial small subunit ribosomal RNA", at positions 931 to 1382 of the family's 1533-position model. The record is from RNAcentral. Lineage: Bacteria; Pseudomonadati; Campylobacterota; Epsilonproteobacteria; Campylobacterales; Sulfurimonadaceae.
GGUGGAGCAUGUUGGUUUAAUUCGAAGAUACACGAAGAACCUUACCUGGCCUUGACAUGGUAGGAACCUUAAGAGAUUAGGGGUGCUAGCUUGCUAGAACCUACACACAGGUGCUGCACGGCUGUCGUCAGCUCGUGUCGUGAGAUGUUGGGUUAAGUCCCGCAACGAGCGCAACCCUCGUCCUUAGUUGCUAACAGUUCGGCUGAGCACUCUAGGGAGACUGCCUUCGCAAGGAGGAGGAAGGUGAGGACGACGUCAAGUCAUCAUGGCCCUUACGGCCAGGGCUACACACGUGCUACAAUGGGGCGUACAGAGAGCUGCGAUACCGCGAGGUGGAGCCAAUCUCUUAAAGCGUCUCUCAGUUCGGAUUGUUCUCUGCAACUCGAGAACAUGAAGCUGGAAUCACUAGUAAUCGCAGAUCAGCUAUGCUGCGGUGAAUACGUUCCCGGGUCUU